CGCUGUACUGCUGGCAGGUCGAAGAUUCCUACGGGAGGCAGCAGUGGGGAAUAUUGCGCAAUGGGCGAAAGCCUGACGCAGCAACGCCGCGUGGACGAUGAAGGCCUUCGGGUUGUAAAGUCCUGUCAGGAGGGACGAAGUCUCGCUUGCGAGAUGACGGUACCUCCAGAGGAAGCCCCGGCUAAUUACGUGCCAGCAGCCGCGGUAAUACGUAGGGGGCAAGCGUUGUCCGGAUUUAUUGGGCGUAAAGAGCACGUAGGCGGUUUACCAGGUCAGGUGUGAAAACUUCGGGCUUAACCCGGAGCCUGCACUUGAAACCGGUAGACUAGAGUCUAGGAGAGGAGAGUGGAAUUCCCAGUGUAGCGGUGAAAUGCGCAGAUAUUGGGAAGAACACCGGUGGCGAAGGCGGCUCUCUGGACUGCGACUGACGCUGAGGUGCGAAAGCUAGGGUAGCAAACAGGAUUAGAUACCCUGGUAGUCCUAGCCGUAAACGAUGGGCACUAGGUGUGGGGAGUUAUCGACGCUCUCCGUGCCGUCGCUAACGCAUUAAGUGCCCCGCCUGGGGAGUACGGCCGCAAGGCUAAAACUCAAAGGAAUUGACGG
RNAcentral lists this ribosomal RNA (603 nucleotides) under uncultured Streptomyces sp. Its description in RNAcentral is "bacterial SSU rRNA". It matches the Rfam family "Bacterial small subunit ribosomal RNA", at positions 306 to 916 of the family's 1533-position model. The record is from RNAcentral. Lineage: Bacteria; Bacillati; Actinomycetota; Actinomycetes; Kitasatosporales; Streptomycetaceae.